GAGGCCUUAGCUUAAUUAAAGUGUCUAAGUUGCAUUUAGGUGAUGUAUUGUAUUUACAGGUCUUCAGGA
RNAcentral lists this transfer RNA (69 nucleotides) under Cyrtodactylus sp. RNAcentral describes it as "tRNA-Ala". The record is from RNAcentral. Lineage: Eukaryota; Metazoa; Chordata; Lepidosauria; Squamata; Gekkonidae.